GUAGGGAAUAUUGGGCAAUGGUCGGAAGACUGACCCAGCCAUGCCGCGUGCAGGAAGACGGCCCUCUGGGUUGUAAACUGCUUUUAUCUGGGAAGAAAAAGGCCAUGCGUGGCAAAUUGCCGGUACCAGAUGAAUAAGCACCGGCUAACUCCGUGCCAGCAGCCGCGGUAAUACGGAGGGUGCGAGCGUUGUCCGGAUUUAUUGGGUUUAAAGGGUGCGUAGGCGGCUGAUUAAGUCAGUGGUGAAAGACUUCGGCUUAACCGGAGCAGUGCCGUUGAUAAGGGUUGGCUUGAGUGUCGGAGGGGUACAUGGAAUUGAUGGUGUAGCGGUGAAAUGCAUAGAUACCAUCAGGAACACCGAUAGCGAAGGCAUUGUACUGGCCGACAACUGACGCUGAUGCACGAAAGUGUGGGGAUCGAACAGGAUUAGAUACCCGAGUAGUCC
RNAcentral lists this ribosomal RNA (444 nucleotides) under uncultured bacterium. Its description in RNAcentral is "bacterial SSU rRNA". It matches the Rfam family "Bacterial small subunit ribosomal RNA", at positions 354 to 796 of the family's 1533-position model. The record is from RNAcentral.